CCCGUAAAGUGCCGAGGCGACCCUCUCAGAAAAACAGAAAAACAAGGAUUCAAACCGUUCAUCAUCGGAGUCGUCCCCGUAAAGCGCCGAGUCGACCAACGUCAAAAGUAAAAUCUUACAGCCGAGACGUCUCGCGUUGAAGCGGAGACGUCUCCGAAGCGCCUGGGACGCGACUGACAACUUUUUCAGGUUUGGUUUGAAUUUCAAACUCCCUUAACUUUAUCUCUAACGGCUAUAUUUGCUUUUUGGGCUAUAAAAGGGAGCUCUUAAGUGCUUUCCAAUAACUUCUGACCAACCCAACACAAGAUCAUUCAAGAGAGAAGAAAGAAAAAGAGGUUCAAGGGAGUUAGUGCAUUUAAGUGAAGAAAUCAAGUGCCUUCAAGCUUCCCAAGUGAUUUCGUGCUCAACUACUCUCUUCCGCU
This 422-nucleotide long non-coding RNA is filed under the name Phoenix dactylifera (date palm). RNAcentral describes it as "long non-coding RNA (PDAC_LNC003847)". The record is from RNAcentral. Lineage: Eukaryota; Viridiplantae; Streptophyta; Magnoliopsida; Arecales; Arecaceae.